Molecule: long non-coding RNA, 739 nt
Organism: Pongo pygmaeus (Bornean orangutan)
Lineage: Eukaryota; Metazoa; Chordata; Mammalia; Primates; Hominidae
Exons: 3
Source: RefSeq, a predicted model, not a curated record
UUCUAUGCUGACUCCCACAUACACGCCUGGCAGUUGAUGCCAGCUGUCAAUAAGAAGGCUCAGGUUUUUGCCACUCCAGAAGGCUGCUUGAGAGUCUUUACAACAUGCUAGCUGGCUUCCCCCGAAGUCAGUGGUCCCAAAGACAGCAAGGUGGAGGCAAGGUUAUCUUGAAGACUUGGCCUCAGAAGUAACAUGGCAUCAUUCCUGCUAUGUCUUAUCAGUUAUAUAGAGGGCUCUUUAGCACUUUGUAGGGGACACCCUUGCCUGUGACAAUCUCUGUUGCCAGCUGCGGAGAUAUACCUUGCAGGUUCUGCAUCUGUAAAGCAGACACAAGGCGGCCGGGCGUAGUGGCUCACGCCUGUAAUUCCAGCACUUUGGGAGGCCAAGGUGGGCAGAUCCCCCAAGGUCGGGAGUUUGAGAACAGCCUGACCAACAUGAAGAAACCCCAUCUCUACUAAAAAUACAAAAUUAGCCAGGCACGGUGGUCCGUGCCUGUAAUCCCAGUUACUUGGGAGGCUGAGGCAGGAGAAUGGCUUGAACCCAGGUGGCGGAGGUUGCGGUGAGUCGAGAUCGCACCAUUGCACUCCAGUCUAGGCAACAAGAGUGAAACUCUGUCACCAAAAAAAAAAAAAAAAAAAAAAAAAAAAAAGCAGACACAAGGCCACCUAUUGCUCUGUCAGCCUGAAAAUGGGAUGAUGUACAGAAAAAUACCCAGCAGAGGACCUGAAAGAAUUGAGCU